UGGGGAAUAUUGCACAAUGGGCGAAAGCCUGAUGCAGCAACGCCGCGUGAGUGAUGAAGGCCUUCGGGUUGUAAAGCUCUGUCUUUUGGGACGAUAAUGACGGUACCAAAGGAGGAAGCCACGGCUAACUACGUGCCAGCAGCCGCGGUAAUACGUAGGUGGCGAGCGUUGUCCGGAUUUACUGGGCGUAAAGGAUGCGUAGGCGGAUGUUUAAGUGAGAUGUGAAAUACCCGGGCUUAACUUGGGUGCUGCAUUUCAAACUGGAUAUCUAGAGUGCGGGAGAGGAGAAUGGAAUUCCUAGUGUAGCGGUGAAAUGCGUAGAGAUUAGGAAGAACACCAGUGGCGAAGGCGAUUCUCUGGACCGUAACUGACGCUGAGGCAUGAAAGCGUGGGUAGCAAACA
RNAcentral lists this ribosomal RNA (402 nucleotides) under uncultured bacterium. Its description in RNAcentral is "bacterial SSU rRNA". It matches the Rfam family "Bacterial small subunit ribosomal RNA", at positions 355 to 774 of the family's 1533-position model. The record is from RNAcentral.